CCUACGGGCGGCAGCAGUGGGGAAUAAUGCACAAUGGGCGCAAGCCUGAUGCAGCCAUGCCGCGUGUGUGAAGAAGGCCUUCGGGUUGUAAAGCACUUUCAGCGGGGAGGAAGGCGAUAAGAUUAAUAACCUUGUCGAUUGACGUUACCCGCAGAAGAAGCACCGGCCAACUCCGUGCCAGCAGCCGCGGUAAUACGGAGGGUGCAAGCGUUAAUCGGAAUUACUGGGCGUAAAGCGCACGCAGGCGGUCUGUCAAGUCGGAUGUGAAAUCCCCGGGCUCAACCUGGGAACUGCAUUCGAAACUGGCAGGCUAGAGUCUUGUAGAGGGGGGUAGAAUUCCAGGAGUAGCGGUGAAAUGCGUAGAGAUCUGGAGGAAUACCGGUGGCGAAGGCGGCCCCCUGGACAAAGACUGACGCUCAGGUGCGAAAGCGUGGGGAGCAAACAGGAUUAGAUACCCCAGUAGUC
Molecule: ribosomal RNA, 465 nt
Filed under: uncultured bacterium
Lineage: Bacteria
Description: bacterial SSU rRNA
Rfam family: Bacterial small subunit ribosomal RNA
Source: RNAcentral